CACUGAAUUAUUUAUUUCCUUUUCUCACCCGAAUGUAAAACUCAGCCUGCGGAUGAGCUGUGACUGCCUCCAUCACAUCACGUCGUCUGACAUCGUUCAAGGUUAAAUUUAAUUACGUUAUUGAUGAAAAUGGCACCAAACACAUGUUUGUUCAGCUGCCUGUCAGCGUUACGACCUGAGAGUGACACGGGACAAAACUCAUAAUAAUGCUUCUUUAUUUCCUUCUUCACACUAACUGUGUGCAGAUAAAACAGUCAGAGACAAGAGCUACGCUUCAAACAAUAUAUUCACAGGUUUCAGUUCUCAUUGGCUACAUGAUGCAUCAAUCAUCCAGAGGCCGGCGUGUGAGUGGCUCAGACGAGAGGUGGGCGGGAACGUAGAGCGGCUCUCCUGUCUAUCAGACCAUUCAUUGGCUGUUUCAGGCCACAGGGCGGGCAUGGAAGCUCCUCAUUGGUCAAAUGAGCUGUCAAUCAAUAGGUCAGAGGUUGGCAGCCAUCUUAGAUGACUUUGGUUCUGUACUGAAGCACAGACGUCCCAUCUGACCCUCAUGAGGACUUGUUCAUUAGGAAAACAAGGAGACGGUGGCGUGACACCGAGCCCAGCGAGGCUUCUCUCUGUGACCUCCUCUGACCCGAACCAGCUGGUAAAAAAAAAAGAAUGAAGACUAAACGCCCUGAACAGCAACACAGCAAUCAGCAGCAGCAGUAAUCUGCAGGAUGACCUUCUGAGACCGACCCGGAGGGAGCUGCAUUAUUUACUUCACUCCCAGGCGAAAGGUCGCAGCGACGGCUUCACAUCCAUUCAGCCACACAGGCCGGGGGCAGGAAGCUGCUGAGCACAUGCACAGCUUUUCAUCCACAGAAACACUGAAGACUCAUCAGGACUCGGUGGAGGUGCUCAUACAUUAAUCACAGGGUCGGUUUCAGGAAGUAUCCUUCAGCAACACGUGGCUUUGUGUAGAGGGUUAACUCAUGAUCGGAUGUGAAAUCGAUGCAUCACUCAUCUGGAGGCUGGUGUGUGAUUGGCUCAGGAGAGAGUGUAACUAGUCUCCACGAUCACUCAUUUGCUGCUGCAGGCUGUAGGGCGGGCGUAGAAGCUCCUCAAUGAGCUGUCAGUCAAACGGCUGCCAUGUCAGGACCUCCGGAGUGGAGAGACGAUGGAGUCCACUUCCACUUCACCACAGAAUGCUGUGCUGUGGACCACCAGAACUUUCACAAAUCAAUGAUGAACUCACAUGUGCAGGAGACUUGAGAGAAAGAGCUUUUCAAAAGUCAGUGUUCAGCUCUCAGUACUUUAUCUGGUCCUGUUUGUUCUUUCAAACCUCUGAAUGCUUCAAAAUAAAAGCUUUUAAAUGACUAAAUAACAGGGGCUUUUAUUGUGAAGAAGUUACAGGAAAUGAAAGGUGUUUG
Molecule: long non-coding RNA, 1409 nt
Organism: Acanthopagrus latus (yellowfin seabream)
Lineage: Eukaryota; Metazoa; Chordata; Actinopteri; Spariformes; Sparidae
Exons: 3
Source: RefSeq, a predicted model, not a curated record